Molecule: non-coding RNA, 45 nt
Filed under: Schistosoma mattheei
Lineage: Eukaryota; Metazoa; Platyhelminthes; Trematoda; Strigeidida; Schistosomatidae
Source: RNAcentral
AUCCAGCUGACGAGUCUCAAAUAGGACGAAACGUGCGUCCUGAAU